RNAcentral lists this non-coding RNA (74 nucleotides) under unclassified sequences. RNAcentral describes it as "L13-Bacteroidia ribosomal protein leader". It matches the Rfam family "L13-Bacteroidia ribosomal protein leader". The record is from RNAcentral.
GGGGACAUGAAAAUGCCCCCAAAUCAGUGUGUGAAUAGCGAAAUCCUAUUAGCCGGGAACGCGGUUCGUGAAGC